GUCCACGCCGUAAACGAUGCGCGCUAGAUCGGUGCGGCUCUGACGCCGUAUCGGUCGGAGCAAAAGCGAUAAGCGCGCCGCCUGGGGAGUACGGUCGCAAGGCUAAAACUCAAAGGAAUUGACGGGGGCUCACACAAGCGGUGGAGCAUGUUGCUUAAUUCGAUGCAACGCGAAGAACCUUACCUGGGUUUGACAUGGCUGGAUUAACCCCCGGAAACGGGGGCCACACCCGCAAGGGUGGAACGGUCACAGGUGCUGCAUGGCUGUCGU
Molecule: ribosomal RNA, 270 nt
Filed under: uncultured bacterium
Lineage: Bacteria
Description: partial 16S ribosomal RNA
Rfam family: Bacterial small subunit ribosomal RNA
Source: RNAcentral